GACGAACGCUGGCGGCGUGCUUAACACAUGCAAGUCGAACGGUGAGGCGCCUUCCUUGUGGGGGGGUGUAGUUGAGAGGCGAACGGGUAAGUAACACGUUAGUAACCUUCCCCCUGCGUCUGGAUAACCACAUGAAAGUGUAGCUAAUACGGGAUAUUCUGGGUCUGUGGCAGGAUGGGUCUGGUAAAGAUGUUGGGUCGGGGGGGGAGGGGCUCGGGGCCUAUGAGCGUGUUGGGGGGGGGAUGGCCUACCAGGGCGGUGACGGGUAGACGGCCUGAGAGGGUGGACGGUCACACUGGGAGUGAGACACGGACCAGACUCCUACGGGAGGCAGCAGUGGGGAAUAUUGCACAAUGGGCGCAAGCCUGAUGCAGCGACGCCGCGUGAGGGAUGGAGGCCGUCGGGUUGUGAACCUCUUUCGCCAGUGAAGCAGGCCUGCCUCGUUUGUGGGUGGGUUGACGGUAGCUGGAUAAGAAGCGCCGGCUAACUACGUG
This 494-nucleotide ribosomal RNA is filed under the name uncultured bacterium. RNAcentral describes it as "partial 16S ribosomal RNA". It matches the Rfam family "Bacterial small subunit ribosomal RNA", at positions 28 to 507 of the family's 1533-position model. The record is from RNAcentral.